AGCUUUACCAGUCUAUAAAACUGUAAGAUUAUUGACUGGAUACCAACCUAUAUAGUGAGCAAUAAGACUUGUACAUUUUAUUCAGUGCGCAUAUAUUGACAAGAAUUUUAUUGGUCAUUUAUGCAUGUCAAAAUCAAAGAUAACCAGCUACGCUAAAAAUACAUUCAGAGAAAUAAGAGUUUAUCAAUUUUGGUUUAUACACUAUAUGAUUGUUUAUUUCAAGAUGCUGGUGCUACGUACAUACGAUGGGGACGCACCACGUGUCCUGGUAACGGUUCGGCACUGGUGUACUCAGGUUAGUCGUAUAAUUAUGUUAUUUUGGUCCACUUUUUGUGUUGCGUGGCUGUUUGAUCCAACGAUCUGUGUAUGAGGUUAUUUAUCAAGUGUUAAGUUGUAAAUACGAGUACAUGUAUAUAUAAUUAUAUACAUACAGUUGUCUUGUACUUUUAUCAGCAUAAUAUUCAAAUACCUUUAUAAUUAUGAUGUGCACUGCACAUAAUAAUUAUAAAGGUAUUUGAAU
This 520-nucleotide small RNA is filed under the name Spisula solidissima (Atlantic surf clam). RNAcentral describes it as "cnRNA122". Lineage: Eukaryota; Metazoa; Mollusca; Bivalvia; Venerida; Mactridae. The record is from RNAcentral.